This 160-nucleotide ribosomal RNA is filed under the name uncultured bacterium. RNAcentral describes it as "partial 16S ribosomal RNA". The record is from RNAcentral.
CACGGAGUUAGCCGGUGCUUCUUCUGCGGGUAACGUCAAUCGCUGAGGUUAUUAACCUCAACGCCUUCCUCCCCGCUGAAAGUACUUUACAACCCGAAGGCCUUCUUCAUACACGCGGCAUGGCUGCAUCAGGCUUGCGCCCAUUGUGCAAUAUUCCCCA